GAUGAACGCUGGCGGCGUGCCUAAUACAUGCAAGUCGAGCGAACAGACGAGGAGCUUGCUCCUCUGACGUUAGCGGCGGACGGGUGAGUAACACGUGGAUAACCUACCUAUAAGACUGGGAUAACUUCGGGAAACCGGAGCUAAUACCGGAUAAUAUCUUGAACCGCAUGGUUCAAUAGUGAAAGACGGUUUUGCUGUCACUUCUAGAUGGAUCUGCGCCGCAUUAGCUAGUUGGUAAGGUCACGGCUUACCAAGGCAACGAUGCGUAGCCGACCUGAGAGGGGGAUCGGCCACACGAGAACUGGGACACGGUCCAGACUCCUACGGGAGGCAGCAGUAGGGAAUCUUCCGCAAAGGGCGAAAGCCUGACGGAGCAACGCCGCGUGAGUGAUGAAGGUCUUCGGAGCGUAAAACUCUGUUAUUAGGGAAGAACAAAUGUGUAAGUAACUAUGCACGUCUUGACGGUACCUAAUCAGAAAGCCACGGCUAACUACGUG
Molecule: ribosomal RNA, 497 nt
Filed under: uncultured bacterium
Lineage: Bacteria
Description: partial 16S ribosomal RNA
Rfam family: Bacterial small subunit ribosomal RNA
Source: RNAcentral